Molecule: small nuclear RNA, 108 nt
Organism: Diceros bicornis minor
Lineage: Eukaryota; Metazoa; Chordata; Mammalia; Perissodactyla; Rhinocerotidae
Source: RefSeq, a predicted model, not a curated record
GUGCUCACUUCAGCAGCACAUAUACUAAAACUGGAACAACACAGAGAUUGGCAUCCUGCACAAAGAAAACACACAAAUUUGUGAAGCAUUUCAUUAAAAAAAAUUUUU